This 26-nucleotide non-coding RNA is filed under the name Rattus norvegicus (Norway rat). Lineage: Eukaryota; Metazoa; Chordata; Mammalia; Rodentia; Muridae. The record is from RNAcentral.
UGAGCUCUGCUCAAUUGGGGCCUAGG